RNAcentral lists this small RNA (2259 nucleotides) under Rattus norvegicus (Norway rat). RNAcentral's name for it is "uncharacterized LOC108350777". Lineage: Eukaryota; Metazoa; Chordata; Mammalia; Rodentia; Muridae. The record is from RNAcentral.
CAGUCAAUAAAUAGAGCUCAAGACAUUACAAAUUCAUGCUGACAGGGCUGUGGCAUUGGCCGUCUAUAGUCAAACUGCAAGUAAUUAACGUGCAUGUUACAAGGACAUUUUCAGCAUCUGUUGGGAAAGUAAUGGAAUUAGGACUUUGGAGGAUUAGGUGAUACAGUGAAAAAGUUUGAUUUCAAAGCAUUAUUCACUACAGUGUUUGUUUCUAGGCAGUUAAUGGGUCACCUAUGCUCACUAUAUCCAUUAUAAUGAUGAACAAAUAUGUAGGGAGAGAAUAGCAAGCCCAAUUAACAGUCCCACACAAAAGCUAAAAUUCAUGUCACUGAUUGGAGUGACUGCAACUUAUCAGAUGCUGAAAGAUGACAGAAAAUUUUAGGAAGAAGGCCCUUUCCAUCAGAGCUUGAAGGCUUCUCUGUAACCUAUGCCAACAAGUCUGGUAGUGGUGAGAGGGAAGGCUAACACUUUCAAGCUUUUUGGGCACUUCCUAUGGCAAUCUGUCCCUACCAAAGUGGCCACAGGCUGCAGUCCUCUGAUAAAUUGGCUUUUUCAAAUCAAGAUCCCUGACAAUAACCCAAGGACAAAGAACAAGAUUCUUCUUCACAAUUUCUAAUUGCUCUCUCUCAUUCUGAAAAGUACCAUAAUGGAAAAUGAGAUCAACAAUGGAUAAUAAAUUCCAAUAUGAGAGAAUAAGAACUCUCCUGCACAUACAUCCUUUAGUGAGAGAUUUUGCCACCCAAUGACCAGCAUAAACAACUGAGGGGUCCACAUUAGUAUAAUCCUUUCCUGAAAAGGCCCCUAUUCCAUGAGCUCCCCAACUGCCAUAAGUAUCCACAAUGAUUUUUCAGUCAUUCAAAUCAGCAUUGUAUCAUCCUCAAGGUAUUUUCUAAGUACCAGAGCUUUGAUAACUUUCUCCUUUAGAGCCUCCCUCAUCUCAUCAAGACAAACUUCUUCCUCAUGAUGACUAGAUAUAACAAUUGUGUGGACUCUGAUGGGAGCCACAGUACCUUGAUCUUGCAUAUACUGCACAAUUACUUGAGUUUUAGAAACUGCAUAGCCAAGGCAAUGUGCCAUUGUGACAUCGUUCAGCCAGUUUGGCAUUUAGCUUGUGUGCUAAGACAAUGGUUAAAGGCAUACACUCUACAGUUUCAUCAGUGGCAUAACAAACAUCAAACCCAAUGUUUUUUUUUUCAUUCUGGUUAAGAUGAACACCUGGGUAAUAUCUGGCUUUAUUUCAGAAGGUCAACAAUGCUGAGCCCUCUGUACUCCAUGAAGAUCCUGUGGAACAAAACCAAAGUUCAGAAAAGAAUCAUCUCCUGUUGAAUGAUAAACAGCCAGAAUCACCACUAGGAGCUAAUCAUUUGCCUUCAGACACUGCCAGGAAUGCACAAGAAAAUGAACAGAAAGAAGUAAAAAGGGCUCAAGAGCAACUGCCUUUUUCUCUUGAAAACUCUGCAUCAGCCCAAACAGCAAGUCAGCAGCAGGACUCCUCUCAGCAAGAACCUAAUCAUUCUGGAAGCAGUAGAAGGCAGCAAUUUUAUUGUCCUGUUUUUGGAAUAGGAAGAUUAGGACUCUAAUGAAUUUUCUAAUCUGUAGUUAUCCAGGACUGGGUUGAUUUGUUCAGGUAUGCCUUUGAGGAGCAUAGCUCCACUGUUCCCUUUUCUCAAUGACUACCUUUUCAAUUUAGUAGACUUGGUUUAUAGAAUUACAGGAACACCCUCCCUUGAUCCCAUGUCUUCUGUGUUCACAUUCACUCACGCAUUUCAUCUUAAGUGUGUACAAUGUACCCCAUGCUCAGAAACUCAGACUAUGGUUAUUUUAUUAUCCUUGAUAGAUAGUUUCUGGGGAAUAGUCCCUAAUCUACUACUCUAGCUCUUGGCCUGUUUCCCUUUUCCAGUGAUAUACCCCAGAUUCUUGGGUAGGAGAAAAUACCUUUCCUAGAGCAGUCUUUUGGCAACAGAGAAGUGUUUAUUCAUUUCUAACUAUUUCAGUAUUCAAUUAUCCAACACUUUCAUAAAUGAUAAAUGUGAUAUUUAAACUUAGUUUGAUCAAUCUGAAUUUGAAUAAAUUAUAAUUGAAUUGCAUUCUUUAGUUACUAGAUCUCUCUUCAUGUCUCUGUGUUACUUGCAAUACCUGCAUUUAAUAGAGAGAAUUCCUGAUCAUUUAUCUAGAAGGAUUGUAUACAGCUUCUCUAUUUCCUGAUGUCAUACUCUGGGAUGGGCUGAUAUCUAUUUUUGUGAUGAUAUGACUUUUAGU